AUUUCUUCAGAGACAUCUGAUAAAAUUGGAACGAUACAGAGAAUAUUAGCAUGGCCACUGCACAAGGAUGACAUGCACAAAUUGAGAAAUGGUCAAGGUAUUC
Molecule: non-coding RNA, 103 nt
Organism: Picea glauca (white spruce)
Lineage: Eukaryota; Viridiplantae; Streptophyta; Pinopsida; Pinales; Pinaceae
Source: Rfam